GAUGAACGCUGGCGGCGUGCCUAAUACAUGCAAGUCGAGCGAACAGAUAAGGAGCUUGCUCCUUUGACGUUAGCGGCGGACGGUGAGUAACACGUGGGUAACCUACCUAUAAGACUGGGAAAACCUCGGGAAACCGGGGCCAAUACCGGGUAAUAUUUCGAACCGCAUGGUUCGAUAGUGGAAGAUGGGUUUGCUAUCACCUAUAGAUGGACCCGCGCCGUAUUAGCUAGUUGGUAAGGUAACGGCUUACCAAGGCGACGAUACGUAGCCGACCUGAGAGGGUGAUCGGCCACACUGGAACUGAGACACGGUCCAGACUCCUACGGGAGGCAGCAGUAGGGAAUCUUCCGCAAUGGGCGAAAGCCUGACGGAGCAACGCCGCGUGAGUGAUGAAGGUCUUCGGAUCGUAAAACUCUGUUAUUAGGGAAGAACAUACGUGUAAGUAACUGUGCACGUCUUGACGGUACCUAAUCAGAAAGCCACGGCUAACUACGUG
Molecule: ribosomal RNA, 496 nt
Filed under: uncultured bacterium
Lineage: Bacteria
Description: partial 16S ribosomal RNA
Rfam family: Bacterial small subunit ribosomal RNA
Source: RNAcentral